This is an RNA transcript of Caretta caretta (loggerhead turtle), 7489 nucleotides long. RefSeq lists it as uncharacterized. The record is from RefSeq and is a predicted model, not a curated record. Lineage: Eukaryota; Metazoa; Chordata; Testudines; Cheloniidae.
GGGGCGGGGGUGGCCGCGCGCGAGCGUUGCCCGCCCCGGGGGAGGCCGGGUCUGUCAGCAUGUCACCCUCCUCGGGUAGGGGGCGGGGGGCAGAGGGGAGCCCCCGCAUCGCCCCUCCCCCAGACACCGCUCCCUCGUGCCGCCCCCCCAAUACUACGUCCUAGCCUCCCCCGGCUGCUGGCUGCUUCCCUAUCCACCGCCUUGCCAAGCCCCGCUUCUGCGGGCCCGGCGUGUCCUCCUCGCCGCGUGUCUGGGGUGGGAAAUAAUGGGGGUCAUACAGAGCCGCGGGCGCGGGGGCUGCAGAGAGUCCCUGAAACAGAGGAUGGCCAUGGGGCAGGGGAGGUUGGAGGGAUGCAAGAAGCCCCCCCAGUGUGUGCGAAACGCUUGGCCUGCGUCAGCAGCAAAGCACCCGCCUAUCCUGGCCGGUCAGGGGCUGAUUUCCCAGCCCCUGAAAUGGUGCUAACACGCUUUGCGGGGCUGGGGGAUCCAUAUGUGCACACACGAUGCUGUGCAGGCAUGACGUGUUGCUGUGAUACUCAUGUAUAUCUGUGUGCACGGCCGGUUAGCUUGAGGUGUAUGACACCAAGGUUGCCUCUAACCAAACUCUCCCUGCAGGGAAAGCGCUGGCUCCAGAGAACUGAUUAUCAUACGAUGAGGUGUAAUGCCCUACCUGCAAAGUUCCUAUACUAUGAUGGAUCCAUCAAAGUUCAGAAGGAGCCAGUCAAGUGUCACCAGAAAGUGAGAACAGGCAUUUGCAUGACACUUUUGUAGCUAGUAUUACAAGAUUUCACAAAACACAAAGAAGGUACCAAUGUGAGAUUUCUAAAGAUAGCUACAGCACUCGACCCAGGGUUUAAGAAUCUGAAGUGCCUUCCAAAAUCUGAGAGGGACAAGGUGUGGAGCAUGCUUUCAGAAGUCUUAGAAGAGCAACACUCCGAUGCAGAAACUACAGAUCCUGAAACACCAAAAAAGAAAAUCAACCUUCUGCUGGUGGGAUCUGACUCAGAUAAUGAAAAUGAACAUCUGCUGGUCUGCACUGCUUUGGAUUGUUAUUGAACAGAACCCAUCAUCAGCAUGGACACAUGUCUCCUAGAAUGGUGGUUGAAGCAUGAAGGGACAUAUGAAUCUUUAGUGCAUCUGGCACGUAAAUAUCUUGCGAUGCUGGCUACAUCAGUCCCAUGCUCUUUUGAAAAUGAGGCCCUGCGUGAAGUGCAUGCAAUCUUGUAAAACAGCAGUUUGAAAUAAGGGCAGCAGUGAGGAUUUUCUUUUCCCUUUCAAAAAUGAAUGCUGCAAGAAAAAAAGAAGAAAAGAAAAAGAAAAGUGGACAGUGAGUGUCAGAUUUUCAACAAAGAAUGGAAUGCAAAAUAUUUUUUUACAAACAUGAACUCGAAGGCUGUAUGCCUGAUUUGUCAGGCGAGCAUCGCAGUGUUCAAGGAGCAUCGCAGUGUUCAAGUUUGAAUUGCCAUUUUUCAACAAAACAUCCUAAUAAUGGCAGCAAUUUAACAACUGAGCAAUGGGCAAGAAAAGCAGAGAAACUUGCCACGAACUUAAAAGCUCAGCUAAAUAUUUGUGCAACAGGGUACAGUUCAGGAAGCCACCUCAAAGGCAAGUUAUGUUCUGGCGUUUGAAAUCACUAAACAAAAUAAGCCUUUUGCUGAAAGAAUGCAUGGUUGAUGUUGCUGGCAUGCUAUGACUGGACUACCAAAACAAAUUUGAGAACAUUAGUUUGUCACAGACAAUUGUUACUCGCUGUGUAGAAGUGAUUGAUGAAUAUUUGGCUUCUGAGUUGAACAAGAAAGCCCAGGGCUUUACGUUGUUUUCGUUAGCUCUCAAUGACAGCACUGACAUUAAGGACACAGCACAAUUAUUGAUUUUUUUGUCAGAAGAAUUGAUGACAAAUUUGAAAUCACAGAGGAAUUUUUAUCAAUGGAAUCAAUGAAAGGCACAACUAAGGGAUCGGAUUUAUAUGAGAGGGUGUCUGGCUGCCUUGAACAUCUGAAGCUCCCCUGGAGUAAACUGACAAACGUAACCACAGAUGGAUCGCCAAAUUUAAUUGGGAAAAACGUAGGACUUUUAAAAAGAAUUCAGGACAAAGUAAAAGAAGAUGACCCUGAUAAAGAGGUGAUUUUUCUGCAUUGUAUUAUAUACAUCAGGAGGGCCUCUGCAAAAAUGUCCUGGACAUCGAUCAUGUUGUUCACACAAUAGUGAAAAUAGUGAAUUACAUAAGAGCGAGGGGACUUAAUCAUUGGCAAUUCAUUUCCCUUCUUGAAGACACUGAUGCCGAACACCAGGACUUACUUUAUCAUACAAAGAAAAGGAGUACUUGUGGCACCUUAGAGACUAACCAGUUUAUCAUACAAAUGUCCACUGGCUCAGCCUAGGAAAGGAAUUGCAGCAAUUUGGGAGUUCAGAGAUGAAAGUCGCAUUUUUCUGGAGAUGCAGGGGAAAGAAAAUGAUUUCCCUGAAUUAAAGAAUUCAAACUGGGUGUGCGACCUUGCUUUUGGUGGGGAUCUCUUGGCACAUUUAAAUGAACUUAAUGUGAAACGGCAAGGAAAGAAUGUGUUUGUACAUGAAUUGUAUUCUAGUGUGACAGUUUUCAAAGUCAAGUUAGUCUUGUUUUCAAAACAAAUUAAGGACAAAGUGUUCGCUCACUUUCCAACACUGAAAUACUUGGAAGUUUCGCCGGAGCAGACAGAAAAGUACAGCAAAAUAUUGAGUGACUUGCACGGAGAAUUUUCUUGUUGAUUCUCUGACUUUGAGAAGAUAGAGAAGAUGCUGGAGCUGGUAUCAUGCCCACUGUCAUUUGACUACGAGGGACCAACGCAAGAAUUACAGGUGGAGCUCAUUGAUCUCCAAUGCAAUUUCAACUUGAAGGAAAAGAACAAUUGAGAAAAACUGUAUGAGUUUUAUGUCCCCUUGAGUGAAACAAAGUUCCCAAAUAUCUGCAAGGUGUCACAGAAAAUCCUUGUUUUGUUCGGCUGUGUGUGCAAACAAACAUUUUCCCUGCUGAAUUACAACAAAUCUGCUUUGCAUUAUAUUCAGCAGUAAUGCAAGAAACCUACAGGCCUGUAUCCUGUAAAAGACAUUAGCUUUAGCAAGUUAGCAUAAGGCUUGAGGCCUAUGAACCUUGAACAGAUAAGCUUUGCAUAGAUAAACGGCCCAACGGAAAACCCAAAGUAUUUGGGGAGCUGAAAAUAGAGUUUAAGGGGAAGUUCUGACCACAGGUACAUGAGUCAACCACAGAAGUGUCCUGGCAAAGAACUGACGUACAUAACAGGUACAUGAAAUACGUCUAAGUCUAGCCUGCUUGCUCGCCUAUAUAUCUUUUCUUAUAAGUUUCUUAUUUUCUUAUGGGUUUGAUUAUUUGUUUUAUUAUUAUAGCUUUACAUUAGAGUAUAUUUUGGCUGUAACACAAGGGACCUGCAGGCCACAUCCUAUAUGUUGAGCUAAGACAAAGUUAGCAUACAUAAGUUUAGGACCUUUCACCUACAUCAGUGGUUCUCAAACUUUUGUACUGGUGACCCCUUUCACAUAGCAAGCCUCUGAGUGUGACCCCCCUUAUAAAUUAAAAACACUUUUAAAUAUAUUUAACACCAUUAUAAAUGCUGUAGGCAAAACGGGGUUUGGGGGAGGGAGGCUGACAGCUUGCGACCCCCCAUGUAAUAACCUCGUGACACCCUGAGGGGUCCUGACCCCCAGUUUGAGAGCCCCUGACCUAGAUAGAUGGUGAUAAGCUAAAGCAUAAGGUCCAUGUAUGGCUGUGACCUUUAACAUAGAGGAUGCAUUAAAGCAGGUUGGCAUAAGGGCUUUCCUAAGGUCAUACCCUUUUAAACUAAACAGGUACAUCACAAUUUGGAACUUGGAAAGAACCAAAAUAGCCAGUUAGGACAGAAAUAACAAAUGUGAUACCUAAUCACAAAAGGGCCAUGGUAUCAAAUUGAUGCAUGUGAUAAUAAGUUGAGAUCACUGAUAUACUAAGCUAUAGAAAAAAGACACUCCAACGUUAGUAAGGUGAGGAAAUACAAAUAAGGAAGGGGAAAAUCCCUUACAACAAUGCAUCAAACAUAGCGGCAUCAACGUAACAUAUUAUAAAAGUGGCAUCCCAGCCUAGGGGCAGAAGAGAGAGAAAGAUGUAGUCCUUGGGAGGUGCCAGAAUGAUGGCCCCUGGUGAUGAUGGGGAAGGUGAUGUGAUACUUAUAAGAAGCACACAGGAUCUUUUAUAAGAGAGAAGGCAAAUAUGCCGUAUUCAUUGAGAAUACAAAAGUUAGCAUAUGCUUUUCAGUCACACACACGUACACAUCAUGCAAACAGUCCUGCCAGUUGAUGUUUUUAUAGUUACCAGUCUGUUGUAGCUCGAGUCAAUCUAAUGGCCAGUUAGAUUGAACACGAGUGAGGAGCUGGGCUCUGUCAAUCGCGAUCCGAUGCUCCGAGGUUUUGGCAGGACUGAACCCAGAGUUUCAUGGCAAAACACUCCAGCUUUAUACUUGUAAAUUCCCAUUUGAGUCCAUCAAUUUUGCAAUGUCAUCCUGUAAUCAUUAGUCCUUAAGUGGUAGUAAUCUUGGGGUUUUCCACUGUUAUCAUUUGAUGAAAAGAAGAGGAAUACUUGUGGCACUUUAGAGACUAACAAAUUUAUUUGAGCAUCCAAUGAAGUGAGCUGUAGCGAAAGCUUAUGCUCAAAUAAACUUGUUAGUCCCUAAGGUGCCACAAUUACUCCUUUUCUUUUUGCGAAUACAGACUAACACAGCUGCUACUCUGAAACCUAUCAUUUGAUGGUUAUUGUCAGACUUCCCAUCAUUAUCUCCUAUUUGUUGCCUUGCCUUCCGGGGCGGUUGCUUCACCUCUGAGGCCAUCAAUGCUGCUAACAUGUUUAGCAUCGGAUACAAUGGAUGUUUUCUGAUUGUCUCCUGGUGUUUCCAAGUCUCUCACUUUUCUUGACGAUCUGGACAUUUGUGAUGGGUUUCACACCUUAUCUUUUCCUGAUGCAUGCAUUCCUCAUUCACACAAACAAUCUCUCACAGAGAAGACAGCAGUAUUUUAUACAGUAGAAUACAUUGUAAAUUAAACUUCACUUAAAUCUUGUGGUCAAAACAGUUUACAUUUUUCAGAGUAGCAGCCGUGUUAGUCUGUAUCGGCAAAAAGAAAAGGAGUACUUGUGGCACCUUAGAGACUUUAGAGAAUUUAUUUGAGCAUAAACUUUCGUGAGCUACAGCUCACUUCAUCGGAUGCAUGCAGUGGAAAAUACAGUAGGGAGAUUUUAUAUACACAGAGAACAUGAAACAAUGGGUGUUACCAUACACACUGUAAGGAGAGUGAUCAGGUAAGGUGAGCUAUUACUAGCUAUUAUCAGGAGAGAAAAAAAAACCUUUUGUAGUGAUAAUCAAGGUGGGCCAUUUCCAGCAGUUUACAUUGUGGCUCAGGCCUUUAACAUUCGUUUAAUCUAAUUAACACAGACACAAUACAAGAUCCUGUCUUUUACUCAAAAAGAAAAGGAGUACUUGUGGCACCUUAGAGACUAACCAAUUUAUUUGAGCAUAAGCUUUCGUGAGCUACAGCUCACUUCAUCGGAUGCAUACUGUGGAAAGUGUAGAAGAUCUUUUAUACACACAAAGCAUGAAAAAAUACCUCCCCCCACCCCACUCUCCUGCUGGCAAUAGCUUAUCUAAAGUGAUCACUCUCCUUACAAUGUGUAUGAUAAUCAAGUUGGGCUAACACGGCUGUUACUCUGAAACCUGUCUUUUACUCACUAAACCUUAAACCAAAGAAAUGACUAGAGGGAAGUUUAUAAUGCAUAUAGGAAACAAGAUCCCAGUCUCAUUCCUUUCUGUUAUUCAGAAAGGGUGGCUGGCAGAAUUAAUUCAAAGUUUACAUCAAUUUUUAUAGUACAGUUAUAAAAUCCUGUCCCUACAGUGAUGAUGAUGAGAAAGAUGAUGGCUAACAUUUCAGGUUGUUCUACAGGAGAUGGUAUGAGUAUAUGGAUGUGCAGAUGUACAUUCUGUAGUAUCUCUAUCUAUUUUACUAAGUUGGGGUGUUUGUGACUGUGUUAAAUGUAUUAAACUAUAUUUGUAAAUAUAAAAGAGUUCCUAUAGUGUGAGUCUUGUAACUGUACACAUCGGGGUUCCCAACUAUAUAAUAAUUUGAAUAAUACUGGCCUUGAUCUUGGGGCAAGAACCUGGCAACCCUAAAAGUGAUAACUGGGGAUUCUUAAGUAAUCAAUAUAAUUAAUACAUAAGCUAAAGGUCAGGCAAAAAGAUGCACAUCUCUCUCCCUCCUAACCAGGGUUUUUCCAGGCUGCGCGUUUCCCUGCCUAUGCUGUGAUAUCAACAGCAAGCUAGACUGCCUCUCUCUAAAAAUCCCCAGGAAAACCCGUCAGUAUGGUUUGUCCCAUCAAUACUGUCUGUCCCAAAAGUCCAUUGUUGUCUCCCCCAGUCUGAAGUUCAUAACAUUUCCUACAGUUUACAAUAAUACAUAAACUUUGUAGUCAAUACAGAGGAUUCCAAAGUUACUUAAACUUAAUUCAAUAAAGUUUGUAAAGAUAUUGGCAGAAAAUUGUCAUAUCUGUCACAAUUCAGAUCCCCUCUUUGUAGCACACACACAGUGUGAAAACCCCUAGUUGUGAUCUUUCACUUCUUUACAAGACCUUGUUAGGGAUCUUAAAUAGCACAAAGAACCUUGAUAGGGCAUUCUCCAUAGGUGGACUUCACUCUUCCUGUAGACAGAAAGCAACAUUACUCUCUCCUUGUAUCCGAUGAAGUGGGCUGUAGCCCACAAAAGCUUAUGCUCAAAUAAAUUUGUUAGUCUGUAAGGUGCCACAAGUACUCCUGUUCUCUCUCCUUUCUGGGGUUUAAAAAAUAAAAAUCUGAUCAUUUGUCCAGGCCUCAUGCAUAGAAAAGUUUACUGAUCCUGCAAGCGUUUGUAUUGUUCUUUCCCAAGAAUUUUUUUGUCCAGGCACCUCAAUAUCUGUGCUACUGUUAACUACGUAAAAACUCCUUAAUUUCACAAAUGUAAUGUUAAUAUUUGAGCCUGUCAUAAAUAUAAAGGGAAGGGUAACCACCUUUCUGAUUACCAUGCUAUAAAAUCCCUCCUGGCCAGAGGCAAAAUCCUUUUACCUGUAAAGGGUUAAGAAGCUCAGGUAACCUGGCACCUGACCCAAAAUGACCAAUGAGGGGACAAGAUACUUUCAAAUCUGGAGGGGGGGAAAAGGCUUUUGUCUGUCUGUGCGAUACCUUUGCCGGGAACAGAUCAAGGAUGCAAGCCCUCCAACUCCUGUAAAGUUAGUAAGUAAUCUAGCUAGAAAAUGCAUUAGGUUUUCUUUGUUUUGGCUUGUAAAAUUUGCUGUGCUGGAGGAAAUGUUUAUUUGUUUUUGUCCUGUUUUUGUGUCUUUUUGUACCUUAAGGUUUUGCCUAGAGGGAUUCUCUAUGUUUUGAAUCCGACUGUCUGUAAGAUUAACUUCCAUUCUGAUCUUACAGAGUUGUUCUCUUAUCUUUUUUUU